AAUGCCCUGACAUUAGAAUAAAGUCCUGAUAAUAGAAUAAAGUCCUGAUGAUAAAAUAAAGUCCCUACAAUAGAAUGAAGUCCUGAUAAUAGAAUAAAGUCCUGACAAUAGAAUAAAGUCCUGACAAUAAAAUUAAGUCCUUACCAUAAAGUCCUGACAAUAGACAAAAGUUAUGAUAAUAGAAAGAAGUCCUAACAAAAGAAUAAAGUCCUAAUAAUAGAAUAAAGACCUGAUAAUAGAAUGAAGUCCCUACAAUAGAAUGAAGUCCUGAUAAUAGAAUAAAGUCCUGACAAUAGAAUAAAGUCCUGAUAAUAAAUUAAAGUCCUGACAAUAAAGUCCUGACAUAAGGUAUAAAGUCCUGACAAUAGAUUAAAUUCCCUACUAUAAAGUCGUGACAUUAGAAUAAAGUUCCGACAAUAGAAUAAAAUCCUGAUAAAAAAUUUAGUUCCUGACAAUGUCCUGAUGUUAGAAUAAAGCCCUGAAAAUAAAAUAAAGUCCUGACAGUAAAGUCCUGACAAUAAGAUAAAGUCCUGACAUUAAUAUAAAGUCCUGACAAUAGAAUAAAGUCUAAUCUAUUAAUUCCUGACAGUAGAAUAAAGUCCUGAUAACAAUUUUAAAUCCUGACAAUAGAAAAAAGUCCUGACAAUAUAAUAAAGUCCUGACAACAAAAUAAAUUCCAACAAUAGAAUUAAGUCCUGAUAAUAAACACCUGACAAUAAAGUAAAGUCCUGACCAUGAGGUCCUUACAAUAGAAAAAAACGCCCUGACAUUAGAAUAAAGUCCUGAUAAUAGAAUAAAGUCCUGACAAUAGAAUAGAGUCCUGAUAAUAGAAAAAGUCCUGAUAAUAGAAUAAAGCCCUAAUAAUAGAAUAAAGACCUGAUAAUAGAAUAAAGUCCUGAUAAUAAAAUAAAGUCCCUACAAUAGAAUGAAGUCCUGAUAAUAGAAUAAAGUCCUGACGAUAGAAAAAAGUCCUGACAAUAAAAUUAAGUCCUUACCAUAAAGUCCUGACAAUAGAAAAAAGUUAUGAUGAUAGAAAAUAAUCCUAACAAAAGAAUAAAGUCCUAAUAAUAGAAUAAAGCCCUGACAAUAAAAUAAAGUCCUGACAAUAGAAUAAAGUCCUGAUAAUAAAUUAAAGUCCUGACAAUAAAGUCCUGACAUAAGGUAAAAAGUCCUGACAAUAGAUUAAAUUCCUUACUAUAAAGUUGUGACAUAAGAAUAAACGUCCGACAAUAGAAUAAAAUCCUGAUAAAAAAUUUAGUUCCUGACAAUGUCCUGAUGUUAGAAUAAAGCCCUGAAAAUAAAAUAAAGUCCUGACGGUAAAGUCCUGCCAAUAGAAUAACGUGUUAACAAUUAAGUCCUGACAACAUAAAGUCCUAAUGAUAAAGUUCUGACAACAGAAUAAAGUCCUGACAAUAGAAUAAAGUUCUCACAUUAGAAUACAGUCCUGACAAUAAAAUUAAUUCCCAACAAUUAAGUCCUGACAAUAGGAUAAAGUCCUGACAAUAAAGUCCUCCGCGCCGACAAGGCUUUUUCAAGCCGAGCUGCGCAGCCCAGCGUAAAUAUCCCCCCUCCCUAACUCAGCUCCUCCGAGCGGCGUAAGUCAUAGCGAGGGAGGAGAGAGGGCGUAAAGUGGUUUUAACACAGCCUAGACCUGUAUUGACCAAUAACAUCAGCUCCUCUCCUC
This 1684-nucleotide long non-coding RNA is filed under the name Xyrichtys novacula (pearly razorfish). Lineage: Eukaryota; Metazoa; Chordata; Actinopteri; Labriformes; Labridae. The record is from RNAcentral.